RNAcentral lists this ribosomal RNA (253 nucleotides) under uncultured bacterium. Its description in RNAcentral is "partial 16S ribosomal RNA". It matches the Rfam family "Bacterial small subunit ribosomal RNA", at positions 524 to 776 of the family's 1533-position model. The record is from RNAcentral.
UACGUAGGUGGCAAGCGUUAUCCGGAAUUACUGGGCGUAAAGCGUGCGUAGGCGGUUCGUUAAGUCUGAUGUGAAAGCCCUGGGCUCAACCUGGGAAUGGCAUUGGAUACUGGCGGGCUAGAGUGCGGUAGAGGGGUGCGGAAUUCCCGGUGUAGCGGUGAAAUGCGUAGAGAUCGGGAGGAACAUCUGUGGCGAAGGCGGCACCCUGGACCAGCACUGACGCUGAGGCACGAAAGCGUGGGGAGCAAACAGG